RNAcentral lists this transfer RNA (87 nucleotides) under Asparagus officinalis (garden asparagus). Its description in RNAcentral is "tRNA A4U43_Met602". Lineage: Eukaryota; Viridiplantae; Streptophyta; Magnoliopsida; Asparagales; Asparagaceae. The record is from RNAcentral.
GGGUUGGUGGCACAGUCGGCUGGCGCGUAGGUCUCAUUACUAAUAUGAGUCAUCCUGCGGUCGAGAGUUCGAGCCUUUCUUUACCCA